RNAcentral lists this small RNA (584 nucleotides) under Pongo abelii (Sumatran orangutan). RNAcentral's name for it is "sense intronic". Lineage: Eukaryota; Metazoa; Chordata; Mammalia; Primates; Hominidae. The record is from RNAcentral.
UCUCUGACCUGAGAGGUUCUGUAGUGAUUAUUUUUGCUGCCCUUUCUCUAGGCUGCUCUUAAAAUGGGGCAGUGAAUUUUAUAAAUCAGAACUAAAUAUGUUCUAAAGCAUCUUGCUAUAAUGCCUUAGCACCGCGAAAAAAUACUGGUGUUUCUAAAAUAAUUUAGAGUUACAAAUAUAGCAACUGAAAAAAAUCUUCAAAAACAUUUUCUGUUUCCACUAAUAACAUUAGUUUGAGAUGUUUAGAAAGCAUAAAGGAUUAAACAUGAUUUUGUUUUAGUUGUUGAUUUUUAGAAUGAGGGCUUUGUGUUUCCACUGAGGGAUUUGGGUGCAUUUGGAAAGAUGUUAAUGUUAUUCUCAUAACGACUUUUGGGUAAUGUCAAUAAGAUAACAAAUUGUUAUGUUUAGUUUAAACUCAUGAUACUUAAGCACUGUUUACUCAUUGUCAUUAACUAUUCCAACUUUAAAUUAAAAAUGCUUGCCUUAAUUAAAGCUGUAUUCAGACAACUUCCUAUGGUUAUCCCUGCGUUGUAUUUCUUGUGCUUCUUGAAGGAGGAUUACAAUAAAGAAACCCUCCUUUUAUA